RNAcentral lists this small RNA (393 nucleotides) under Pan troglodytes (chimpanzee). Its description in RNAcentral is "retained intron". The record is from RNAcentral. Lineage: Eukaryota; Metazoa; Chordata; Mammalia; Primates; Hominidae.
AGACGCCGGGCCUACCGCGGGAGCGUGAGGGAAGCCGCGCGUUGCGUUCCAAGGCAUCUGUGAGCCCGCGGAGUAUACACCAUGAGCAAAGCUCACCCUCCCGAGUUGAAAAAAUUUAUGGACAAGAAGUUAUCAUUGAAAUUAAAUGGUGGCAGACAUGUCCAAGGAAUAUUGCGGGGAUUUGAUCCCUUUAUGAACCUUGUGAUAGAUGAAUGUGUGGAGAUGGCGACUAGUGGACAACAGAACAAUAUUGGAAUGGUGGUAAGUAAAGAUACAAGAGUUCUCUUGGAGAUUUCAUUUUUCUUUUGGAAUGUGUAUUAACUUUCCUGGUUAGUAACCCCCAGAAAUGGCAAAUAACAGGCAAGAUUAGACUUUCCAUCUCCUUUUUAGUUG